Suricata suricatta (meerkat) is the source of this 882-nucleotide long non-coding RNA. RefSeq lists it as uncharacterized. NCBI's taxonomy places the organism in Eukaryota, Metazoa, Chordata, Mammalia, Carnivora, Herpestidae. The record is from RefSeq and is a predicted model, not a curated record. The transcript is spliced from 4 exons.
UACUCAAUCUAAUUUUCCUCUAGGCUUCGAGCCACAGGCUUCCCUGAGAAUAAGUAGAAUGGAGAUUUGAAACACUUUUUAUUCAUUUCACAGGGAUGUGUAGGACUCUCAUUGUUACCACCAGGCACAUGUCUCUGUGUGAUACAAAGGAGGAGAAGGCACAUCCUGUCUGUGUUACACAAACAAGUAAUCACAACUGAAUGUGACAAGCCAUCAUGUGACUUUAUGAUGUGCCAGAAACAUCAUAAAGAGCUGUGGAAGCACCUCCAGAGGAAACAACGAUUACACUUUGGGGAACGAGAAGCAGUUCUGUUGGAGGUGACAUCAGUUCAAUGGAAUAAACGUGUAUCAAGGGCCAGGCAUGGUCCUGGUGUACUGUGUGAGAGAGAGCACAUAGGGGAGGGGCAGAGAGAGAGGAAGAGAAUCCCAAGCAGGCUCCAUGCUCAAGGUGGAAGCCCAGACCACAAUAACAUGACCUGAGCUGAAAUCAAGAGCUGGCCACUCAACCAACUGAGCCACCCAGGCACCCCUCAUAUCAGCCGAAGGAUGACUGAACAAAAAGAGAACACAAUGUUUGGAAGGCAAAGGCGUGAUUAAUAUUAAAUAUCUUGAGAGGAGCCUUCUCGGUGAUAUAUUUCAUCUUGUCGCCCUGAACUGUUUAAGAGCUUGGAGCCCUGAGACCACCAUUUUAGGACGGAUGAACCAGCUUACUGGAGUAGACACGUAGCGGAGAACCAAGGGACCCCAGCAAAUAUCCUGACAUCCCAGUGACUGAGGCCAUUCUUGAACUAUCCACCAGCUGACUGGCUACCAGAGAGAGCUCAGGAGAGACCAGCCGAGGAGCUACCUGGUUGAACUAGCCCAAGUGUCAAGCCACAGAAU